RNAcentral lists this transfer-messenger RNA (359 nucleotides) under Cephaloticoccus primus. RNAcentral's name for it is "Standard tmRNA". It matches the Rfam family "transfer-messenger RNA". From Rfam's summary of the family: Bacterial tmRNA, also known as 10Sa RNA or SsrA, is named for its dual tRNA and mRNA-like properties. Its role is to liberate the mRNA from a stalled ribosome. To accomplish this part of the tmRNA is used as a reading frame that ends in a translation stop signal. Lineage: Bacteria; Pseudomonadati; Verrucomicrobiota; Opitutia; Opitutales; Opitutaceae. The record is from RNAcentral.
GGGGGUGUUUUGGAUUCGAUUUUCGGGUAGAGCGCGCAGCUGCCGUUCGAGAGUGAGGCGUCUCUCGUUAAUCCCCGUUUCAACACCAUAAAUGGCACUUACGAAGAAAUGCCCCUGGCUGCUUAAUGACGGCCACGUCGGUCCAGCGACACCUGCUAGCUGAUACCGGCGACGACAGCAGGCAUAGUAUGCGGUGCGACUCGCGGACUGCAUACCGUACCUUCAACCCGGGAGUUGGCCCUCGCUCAAGCGCCCGUGCGCUGCGCUGAGCAAGGGCGAGAUCAAAAGGCGCACUAUGACGGUAGAUGCGGCGCGUGAAGGCCGGAAAGACGCGGGUUCAACUCCCGCCACCUCCACCA